This is a non-coding RNA of Drosophila suzukii, 5190 nucleotides long. The record is from RefSeq and is a predicted model, not a curated record. Lineage: Eukaryota; Metazoa; Arthropoda; Insecta; Diptera; Drosophilidae.
UAGUGCAUCAACGUCCAUCAUAAAAAAAAAUAUCUUGUGCGAUCAUUUUGGAGGAAAAGCCACUGAAUGGUAUUGGAAGUUUCAAAAGGCAAAUCCCAACUUCACUUCGUCAAAGUUUUGCGAAGAGUUUCGUAAGAAAUUCGAAGACAUUGAUACAGACAUGGACAUUUGGGAGACCAUUAAUAGCAGAAGGCAAGGCGACAAGGAACCGUUUGAAGAAUUUCAGUUUCAUGUCGAAAGACUCGUAGCCCAACUACGGAACCCUAUAACAGAGGAAUCCUUGGUACGCUUGCUAAUAAGGCACUCCAAGACCUCACUCAGAUUUGAAUUAAUGCACUUAGGGAUUAAUACUCUUGCUCGGUUGCGAGAAGAGUUACGAACACAUGAACAGUUUUGUAAACAAAUCAAGUUGCAGCCCCUAAAAAGCAGUUUUGCCCCUAGACCAUUCGUAUCUCAGCUAGAUGGAGAGGAAGAAGAGAUGCAACAGAACGAAGUCGCAGCAAUGCAGCGAGAACCACUCAAAUGCUGGAAUUGUGAUAGUCUAGGUUACCGAUUCGAUGAGUGCCUUGAGAAUCAGCGGCGCAUCUUUUGCUAUGGAUGCGGUGCCAAGAACGUGUUUAAGCUAAAAUGUCAGACUUGUAAUCCAUCGGAAAACCGACAGAAGGAUGCGUCAGCGAACAACCUGCUGCCGCAUCCAAAACAUUAGGUAUAGAUUGCGCUACGCAGACUGAAUCGGUUUCCAACAGCCGAUCAAAAGCACUACCGAGCAUAUGCCAUAUCAGGAGAGGCUGGCUCGGUACACAGAAACGCGGAACAGGAUAUUUGGGGGCGUAAAUAGUUUUGAGCACGACGAUAGAACUCGAAGAUCGUCGAGACGAGCGAUAAGCUUUUGGAAAGGAGUUCGCGACAACCGCAGACGACUUAUUUCAGCCAUUUUCCUCAACAAGGAUAGUCGAUUAUACACCGAUAUUGAGAUAGACAACCAUUCUUACAUCGCGUUAUUAGACUCAGGCGCGACAGUGAGUUGUAUUGGCGGUGACGCCGCGAAAACAUUUAACGAUCACCCUCAAAGGCGCAACUGUUCAGGGUUCAUAAGAACCGCAAAUAACUCAGAGUGUCCUGUUACAGGACGACUCAUUGUGAACAUCAAAUACCAGGGACGGGCAAACGCAGUAGAGAUUUUUAUCAUUCCAGAUCUAAAACAGGACGUAUAUUUAGGUAUAGAUUUUUGGCAGAAGUUUGGGUUACUCGACAGAAUCACCGACGACAAGGGAGCUGUAGCCGAAUUAGAUGUAGGUCGCGAAGAAAGUGAUGAGACAGUUAAGAACCAUGUACUAUCAGCCGCUCAACAAGACAGGUUAAAUCAAGCCAUAAGCACGCUUCCGUCUUAUGAGAAAGAAGGAUUAGGGCGCACCCAUCUUAUAGAGCAUCAUAUUGAUGUAGGCAGUUCUCUUCCGGUAAAGCAGAAGCAUUGGUCAGUUUCGCCGGCGAAGGAAAAGGUUAUGUUUUCUGAAAUCGAGAACAUGUUAGCAAUGGAUGUUAUCGAAGAGUCUAGGAGUCCAUGGAGCAGUAACUGCGUUCUUGUCCAGCGAGGACAGAAAAUUCGGCUAUGUCUAGAUUUCCGCGAGGUUAAUAAGCUUACCCUAAAGGACGCUUACCCUCUCCCUCAGGUGGAUGGUAUUCUCAGCAGACUGCCUCCUGCUCGAUAUAUUACCGGCUUAGACAUGAAGCAUGCCUUCUGGUAGAUACCUCUUGAGGAGAAGUCUCGCCAAUGCACAGCCUUCACCAUACCAAAUCGGCCACUAUACCAGUACAAGGUAAUGCCCUUCGGCUUAUGCAACGCCGCUCAAACGGUCUGUAGGUUAAUGGACCAAGUAGUACCGCCUAGCCUGAGGACGAGAGUAUUCGUCUAUUUAGACGACCUCUUGCUUCUCUCAGACGACUUUGAAUCACAUAUGCAACUAAUCGAGGAAGUAGCAGGGUAUUUCCGUAAGGCCAACUUGACAAUUAACAUCGCGAAGUCCAAAUUUUGUAUGAGAGACAUCAAAUACUUAGGAUUUAUUAUCGGGGACGGUCAACUGAAAGCCGAUCCAGGUAAAAUCUCAGCGGUCAAGGAGUUUCCGAAACCUAUCACGACCAAACAACUCAGACGUUUCCUAGGUCUCGCCGGAUGGUAUAGACGGUUCGUGGAAAACUACGCAUCCAUCACCCGAGCUUUAACCGAUCUGUUGAGGAAAACCGAAUUGGAAUGUUUGGCUAUGAUUAGAGGAAUUAACAAAUUCAGGGCGUAUAUCGAGGGGCAAGAUUUCGUAGUAGUUACAGACCACGCGUCGCUGCAGUGGCUAAGGAAGCAGAAGGACUUAUCGGGGAGGUUAGCCAGAUGGGCAAUCCGCUUGCAAGGGUUUUCAUUCGAGAUUAAGCACAGAAAAGGGACUCAGAAUGUCGUACCCGAUACGCUUUCUAGGAGAGACGAACUAGUAGUCAAUGAGAUUCACGGUCUCGGCCCUGUGAUCGACAUGUCCUCGAAGGAUUUUAUGUCGCAAGAGUAUGUAGAAUUGAUCAGAAGAAUACAAGAUGACCAGUCACGGCUGACAGACUUGCGUGUGGAUAACGGGUAUAUCUAUAAGCGCCUCGAAGGCGUGGAAGGUAGUGAUUCAUGGAAGCUUUGGGUGCCUUCGAACCUCCGAAACAGUGUACUAUAUCGAGCACACGAUCCAUGUGACUCAGCUCACCUAGGCAUGGGUCGGAUGGCGCAGAAGCUUAAGCAAUUCUUCUUUUGGCCGGAUAUGAUUACACAAAUCCGUUCAUACAUAUCAAACUGUCCCACAUGUAAAUCAACUAAAGGUGCAAACCUAGUACUAAGGCCGCCCAUGGGCAGGCCAAUGACAUCAGACAGACCUUUUCAGAAGUUGUAUAUGGAUCUAUUAGGGCCAUAUCCGAGAUCAAAAGAAGGUAAUAUCGGGUUAUUGAUUAUAGUCGACCACAUGUCUAAGUUCCAUUUCUUGCAACCAUUUAAGAAAUUCACUUCGGGUAAGAUCUGCGAUUAUCUACUAAGACACGUCUUUUACACAUUCAGCGUGCCCGAGUCGAUUUUGACUGACAACGGUUCGCAAUUUAAAUCGGGACAAUUCAAGGCGUUCCUGACUCGAUUUGGUAUAUCACAUAUCUGUACCGCGAUCUACUCUCCUCAGGCCAACGACAGUGAGAGGCUCAACCGUUCUGUCCUAGCAGCCGUACGCGCGUACGUGGGUCAAGACCACACCAAUUGGGAUAAGCAACUAAGUGAGAUUAGCGGGUCCUUGAGGGCAAACUUCCAUCGUAGCAUAGGCUACUCACCUUACUACAUUUGCUUCGGUCAGAACAUGAUAUUAAAUGGCAAAGAUUACAACCUUCUUCGUAAGCUGGACUUAUUACAAAACGAUGUAGCGAUAAAGUAUCCUGAAUUUCUUCAAUUAGCUCGACAAGAGGCCAAAGCCAGAAUAGCAGACAGCCAUGAGACCAAUGCUCGAAAGUACAAUUUGCGAAGUCGGACCGUACAGCUGAAGGUUGGCGACACUGUCUUCGCUAGAAAUUUUGCACAGAGCAAUGCCGUCAAGAAAUUCAGUAGCAAAUUAACGCCAGUUUUUAUGAUAUCAAAGGUAAUCAAGAAAGUCAGCCCGGCAUACUAUGAACUAGCGAACGAGAAAGGCAAAUCAAUAGGUAAAUACCAUCUCAAAGAUAUUCAAAUCGGCAAAUAGACAGUUAACAGCCUUUCGAGAUAUGAUUCUCCAUCUGUUAACUGUGGUUGUAGGGUACAAUGCACGAACGCACGCAUAAGGGUUAAAGUUUUGGCUGUAAGUUGUUCCUCACUCACAUGUAUAAAACGUAAAUAGCGGCAUAAUUCCUGAAUUUGCUGGACCGCCUCUCUGUACUGUACGUCUGCCAUCUCGCACGAUCUGCGCCGCGGCGACUGAACAUCUGGCGAAAAUCAGUGUGAGCGACGAGAUGACGGAAAAUAUCACGCCAUAACGCCGUUACUUUCCGUCUCUGCGCUCCCUACUUAGAUUCCUGGAAGCGUAGUCAGCCACGUAGGCCAACUUCUGUGCACAGCUCGAACACUUGAGUUUCUCUUGCUAAGGCCAGCACACGUGCGCCAAAACCCACAGUCAAGAUAUAAUUCGAAACAAGUCCACGUGAAAACUGACCGACAAACGGUACCGAAGUGCGGCAAGGUGCAACCUGUACAGUAAUAGCUAAAGCGAAUAGUGCAAAACCAUAGUCUGAGGUGAAUAUCAGUCAUAAUUUUCCUCGAGGACCGGUCAUAUAAUAUCGGAAGUGUUUUGGUUUCAAAACACACCCCCCCGCAAUCGAUCUCUUAACAGGCGCUAAGUCCCUGCCACUCAGUGUAUGCUGGCGCUGAUAUCGUCGAACGAUUGCAGAGCGGGGGGUGGCUUUUAGGACCCUGGUUUGAGUAGUUUUUGCAUAAGUGUACUUGUACGAAAUUUCUAACGAUAGUUUUAAAUACGUCCAUUAGGUAAAAAGCUUCUUAUGUAAACGGGAAGUGCAUCGAAGUUAAGGUUGUACACAUAACACAUAUACAUAUACAUCUUGUUCUAAUCUACCCUCAAGGGAUCAACGAGAGCUUCAUUGGGCCCAACGAACGCUUCGAUGGAUUUUCCUAUAAAGUACCGAUCCCACUUUGCUCUUUGCCAGACAGCUAAGGGAAAAAAUAUCAUCACCUAGAACAUGGAACACAAACUUAAAUACAAAAUAAUAUGUAUGAAAAUAUAUAACUGAAUUACAAAAUUAAAUGAAAGAAAAUAUUUUACCCUUUUUUCUGGGAAUGGGUGGAGCGAGUUUAAGUGCAAAAGUUCUUCAUUUGAGAAUUUAGAAGUUCACUAUCAAGAACUUGUUUCUCAUUUUGAGCGCUGAAAAUUUCUCAGUAUGACGAAAGGGAUACUCGUUUCUAAAAUUUAAGCUAAAUUAUUUCUUAAAAUGAGUUCCGUUUUUUAGUCAUAUUGAGGAAAAAUGUUCAAAAGAGCACAAAUGUACUCAGUUUCUCAGAAAAUUUGUACUGAAUCGGAGUAUUUUGCACUCAAAGUGAGAAUUUUUGUUCAUGCUGAAUUUUUGAGUACAAAAAUUCUCAAUUUGAUUGCAAAUUUCUUGAAUAAUUCUCUAUGUGUAGCGUUUAUAAUUUGUAAUUCAUUUUCU